UUUUCUUAUAAAAUAAUAUUUAUAGAACUCUGCGCAAAUAAUUUUUAUAGCGUAAAAGCAAAAUAAAUUCAUAUAUAUAAUAGCACACUAAACCAGGUAUACGAAAAUAUUCUACAAUGACAUGUGGGCCCCAAAAUAAUCGCAAAUAUACAAGACUGUAGACCUUCAAUUUCUAAGGAUGCAAGUCCAAAAGCAAACCCUCGACAUAAUCAGCGGUCUACAGACUACCCUGAGCC
This 236-nucleotide long non-coding RNA is filed under the name Theobroma cacao (cacao). RNAcentral describes it as "long non-coding RNA (TCAC_LNC004470)". The record is from RNAcentral. Lineage: Eukaryota; Viridiplantae; Streptophyta; Magnoliopsida; Malvales; Malvaceae.